GCGCAAGGCCAUGUCAUCCCUCUCAUGGAGCUGUCCCAGCGCCUCGUGGAGCAGGGCAUCAAGGUCACCUUCGUCAACACGCAGCACAACCACGACCUCAUCCUUGCCUCCCUCCACCUCUCCAAGUCCCAACAUGGCAGCAGCCUCGGAGGGGUCCACAUGGUGUCCCUACCAGACGGGCUCGCCGACGGCGAGGACCGCAAGGACCUCGCGCUGCUCACCCAGUCCUUCUCGGAUGCCAUGCCCGGCGAGCUGGAGAAGCUCAUCGGGAGGGUCUACCAAUCGGAAUCCGAGUCCGGUGCGUACAGGCUGACGUGGAUCAUCGCCGACGCGAGCAUGGCGUGGGCGUUUCCCGUGGCCAAGCGGCUCGGCCUCCGGGCCGCCGCCUUCAACCCGCUGUCGGUGGCCAUGUUCGCCACGAGGAUCCGCAUCCCCGAGCUGGUAAGGGACGGGGUGGUGGACGAGAAAGGCCUGCCGAAGCGGCGCGGCACGUUCCGGCUGGCUCCGGGGAUGCCGCCCAUGCGCGCGACGGAGCUCUCGUGGAACUGCGCCGGCGACCCCAGUGGCCAGCCGGCCAUACUGGACUUCAUCCUCCGGAACAACGCGGCCACCCCACUAGCCGAGGCGGUCGUCACCAACUCCGUCCAAGACCUCGAGCCGGGAGCCAUGGCGCUCUUCCCCGAAGUCCUCACCGUCGGCCCGCUCCUUUCUGACUCCUUGGACAAGCCGGUGGCGAGCUUCUGGGCCGAGGACGCCACCUGCGCGGCGUGGCUCGACGCGCAGCCCGCCGGCUCCGUCGUGUACGUGGCGUUCGGCAGCUUCGCCAUCUUCGACCGGGCGCAGCUCGUGGAGCUGGCCGAGGCGCUGGCGCUGACCUCCCGGCCCUUCCUGUGGGUGGUGAGGCCGGACUCGGCGAGCGAGGAGUGGGUCGAGGACCUCCGCCGCCGCGCCGGGCCGCGCGGCCGCGUCGUGGGCUGGUGCCCGCAGCAGCGGGUGCUGGAGCACGCAUCGACGGCGUGCUUCCUGUCGCACUGCGGGUGGAACUCAACGCUGGAAGGGCUGGUGAAUGGCCUGCCGUUCCUGUGCUGGCCCUACUUCACGGACCAGUUCCUCGACCGGGGCUACAUCUGCGACGUGUGGCGGACGGGGCUGCAGGUGGCCGGCGAGAUGACGACGGGGACGCUCGUGGGGAGAGAGGUGAUACGGGGCAAGGUGGAGGAGCUGCUCGGCGACGGGGAGAUCAAGGCCAGGGCGCUCGCGCUGAGGGACGUUGCUCGCGGCGCCGUCGCAGACGGCGGGUCGUCGCGCCGGAAUCUCGCACGGUUCGUGGACCUCGUCCGAGGAUCAGUGACCUAG
Molecule: ribosomal RNA, 1356 nt
Filed under: Triticum aestivum (bread wheat)
Lineage: Eukaryota; Viridiplantae; Streptophyta; Magnoliopsida; Poales; Poaceae
Description: partial small subunit ribosomal RNA
Source: RNAcentral